AUUGUACGCUGGCGGCAUGCCUUACACAUGCAAGUCGAACGGCAGCACGGGAGCAAUCCUGGUGGCGAGUGGCGAACGGGUGAGUAAAGUAUCGGAACGUGCCCAGUCGUGGGGGAUAACGUAGCGAAAGUUACGCUAAUACCGCAUACGAUCUAUGGAUGAAAGCGGGGGAUCGCAAGACCUCGCGCGAUUGGAGCGGCCGAUAUCAGAUUAGGUAGUUGGUGGGGUAAAGGCUCACCAAGCCGACGAGCUGUAGCUGGUCUGAGAGGACGACCAGCCACACUGGGACUGAGACACGGCCCAGACUCCUACGGGAGGCAGCAGUGGGGAAUUUUGGACAAUGGGCGAAAGCCUGAUCCAGCCAUGCCGCGUGCAGGAUGAUGGCCUUCGGGUUGUAAACUGCUUUUGUACGGAACGAAAAGGUUUGGCCUAAUAAGCUGAGCUCAUGACGGUACCGUAAGAAUAAGCACCGGCUAACUACGUGCCAGCCGCCGCAGUAA
Molecule: ribosomal RNA, 500 nt
Filed under: uncultured bacterium
Lineage: Bacteria
Description: partial 16S ribosomal RNA
Rfam family: Bacterial small subunit ribosomal RNA
Source: RNAcentral